GUGCUCACUUGAGCAGCACACAUGCUAAAAUUGGAGCCACUCAGAGAUUAGCACAGCCCCUGUACAAGGAUGACAUGCAAAUUUGUGAAGCAUUCCAGAUUUCU
Otolemur garnettii (small-eared galago) is the source of this 104-nucleotide small nuclear RNA. The record is from Ensembl. NCBI's taxonomy places the organism in Eukaryota, Metazoa, Chordata, Mammalia, Primates, Galagidae.